This 1498-nucleotide long non-coding RNA is filed under the name Homo sapiens (human). RNAcentral's name for it is "non-protein coding lnc-URGCP-MRPS24-5:2". Lineage: Eukaryota; Metazoa; Chordata; Mammalia; Primates; Hominidae. The record is from RNAcentral.
CAAGCCUGGAAGAACUCGUCAUGCUCUUUGUAGCGUGGUGCUUCUGUUGCUCACAGAGGUGCCUGCUUCCCCUUCUGCCAUGAUUGGAAGUUUCCUGAGGCCUCCCCAGCCAUGUGGAACUGUGGCACCUUGACGAGGUCUUUUUAGAGCUCAAGGAUGGUCAGCAGAUUCCUGUGUUCAAGCUCAGUGGGGAAAACGGUGAUGAAGUGAAAAAGGAGUAGAGACGACCCAGAAGACCCAGCUUGCUUCUAGUCCAUCCUUCCCUCAUCUCUACCAUAUGGCCACUGGGGUGGUGGCCCAUCUCAGUGACAGACACUCCUGCAACCCAGUUUUCCAGCCACCAGUGGGAUGAUGUUGCACCUGGACUUGAUAUGAAAGUAACCAUCAGAAAAUCAACAGAGAUCUUAAACUUGCCUACCACAGACACCUGCAGGAAUAUACUAAGAAUCAUCAUAGUGGACCUUUAUUGUCUCCUGAGCACCCAUUCUUUGUUCUUUCAGAAACACAACUGGUUUUGAGAAUCCAUCCCUUCUUCACUCAGUCCACGUAAAGGUUAGGAUGGUAGAAAGUGUUAUACCUCUUCCUCCAGAGUUGGAGCCUAUGACACUGAUGACACUGGCAUGGAAAGCCAAAGCCCUACACCAACCAGCACACUUACUGGUUCCAAAUUGAUCUACGCUGGUGUAAUCAGAGUGAAUCUCAGAACUUUGGACAGAGCUGUGAGCAGAGACUGACUUUCCUGCUGUCUCCAGGUAGCUGCAAGGCUGAACAGCAGCACCUACUUUAUUACCAUCUUACUGUCAUUCAAAGAAGGCAGAGCUGAAUGCUGGAGAAAAACUGAGUACUAGCAACAGUUUUUGAACCCUGAAUACUGUCAUAACUGAAGCUAGAAUUAUCCCUGGACUUGUUUGCCACUAAAAUUUCCUUGUUUUGCUUACCCUGGUUUCAGCUGGCACCCUGAUCACUUGAAAGGAACAUAACUGAUAUACUGUCCUUUGUUUUUCUUUCCUUCCUCUUCUCCGCCUUUGAUGAUUUUAAAUUAGAAAUCUACCUGCCUCUAAUCUCUUUAAUUUUCUCAUUUAUUUACUGCUGCCUAUUUUCCAAAACACUGCUUCUCGAAUAUUCCUGGCUCAAAAAUCAUCUAUGUCUUCAUGACAUAUGAAACCCCUAGAAUCCAGCCUUUCCCCAGCUUUUAAUAUCUCCUAAUUGAUUUCUCAAUUCCAGUGAAAUGAUUCCAUUUAUUUUUUUCCCAAACACAUCACAAAUAUUCCUAACUCUUGUGAGCAAUUUUCUCUCAUUCUUCUCAACUUAUCUAAAUCCUAACUUUUCAAAAGAUCUAGCUCAAGUUCUGUCUUAUCAUAUUUUGAGUUCCUUUCUUUGGCAUUGUAUUAUUUUGUAUCUUUCCAUGUACACAUGUGUGCAUUAUCUCCCUGAUAAAACUAACUGGCUAGAGGAUAGGAGUAAAGACUCAAUUCUAAUAUCCUUGUUACCUAAUAAU